This 402-nucleotide ribosomal RNA is filed under the name uncultured bacterium. RNAcentral describes it as "bacterial SSU rRNA". It matches the Rfam family "Bacterial small subunit ribosomal RNA", at positions 355 to 774 of the family's 1533-position model. The record is from RNAcentral.
UGGGGAAUCUUGCACAAUGGGGGCAACCCUGAUGCAGCGACGCCGCGUGAGCGAUGAAGCCCUUCGGGGCGUAAAGCUCUUUCGACCGGAACGAUAAUGACGGUACCGGGAGAAGAAGCUGCGGCUAACUACGUGCCAGCAGCCGCGGUAAUACGUAGGCAGCAAGCGUUGUUCGGAGUUACUGGGCGUAAAGAGUGCGUAGGCGGUUUUCUAAGUUCGGUGUGAAAUCUCUCGGCUUAACUGGGAGGGUGCGCCGAAGACUGGGAAGCUGGAGUGUGGGAAAGGCAGGCGGAAUUCCUGGUGUAGCGGUGAAAUGCGUAGAUAUCAGGAGGAACACCGGCGGUGUAGACGGCUUGCUAAACCAUAACUGACGCUGAGGCACGAAAGCGUGGGUAGCAAACA